This 184-nucleotide small nuclear RNA is filed under the name Daphnia magna. Its description in RNAcentral is "U2 spliceosomal RNA". It matches the Rfam family "U2 spliceosomal RNA". Rfam says of the family: U2 is a small nuclear RNA (snRNA) component of the spliceosome (involved in pre-mRNA splicing). Complementary binding between U2 snRNA (in an area lying towards the 5' end but 3' to hairpin I) and the branchpoint sequence (BPS) of the intron results the bulging out of an unpaired adenosine, on the BPS, which initiates a nucleophilic attack at the intronic 5' splice site, thus starting the first of two transesterification reactions that mediate splicing. Lineage: Eukaryota; Metazoa; Arthropoda; Branchiopoda; Diplostraca; Daphniidae. The record is from RNAcentral.
GUUACUUCUCGGCCUUUUGGCUAAGAUCAAAGUGUAGUAUCUGUCUUAUCAGCUUAAUAUCUGAUACGGGUUCAAAUGAACCCCAGAAUAUUAAACUGAUUUUUGGAAUUCGGUGGGAUGUCAAUGCUUGCAUUGAUCCUGCCACGGGCCGUAUUGCAGUACCUCCCGGCUCGGCUCACCCUUC